This 725-nucleotide ribosomal RNA is filed under the name Pseudomonas sp. RNAcentral's name for it is "bacterial SSU rRNA". It matches the Rfam family "Bacterial small subunit ribosomal RNA", at positions 28 to 749 of the family's 1533-position model. The record is from RNAcentral. Lineage: Bacteria; Pseudomonadati; Pseudomonadota; Gammaproteobacteria; Pseudomonadales; Pseudomonadaceae.
AUUGAACGCUGGCGGCAGGCCUAACACAUGCAAGUCGAGCGGUAGAGAGAAGCUUGCUUCUCUUGAGAGCGGCGGACGGGUGAGUAAUGCCUAGGAAUCUGCCUGGUAGUGGGGGAUAACGUUCGGAAACGGACGCUAAUACCGCAUACGUCCUACGGGAGAAAGCAGGGGACCUUCGGGCCUUGCGCUAUCAGAUGAGCCUAGGUCGGAUUAGCUAGUUGGUGAGGUAAUGGCUCACCAAGGCGACGAUCCGUAACUGGUCUGAGAGGAUGAUCAGUCACACUGGAACUGAGACACGGUCCAGACUCCUACGGGAGGCAGCAGUGGGGAAUAUUGGACAAUGGGCGAAAGCCUGAUCCAGCCAUGCCGCGUGUGUGAAGAAGGUCUUCGGAUUGUAAAGCACUUUAAGUUGGGAGGAAGGGCAGUUACCUAAUACGUGAUUGUUUUGACGUUACCGACAGAAUAAGCACCGGCUAACUCUGUGCCAGCAGCCGCGGUAAUACAGAGGGUGCAAGCGUUAAUCGGAAUUACUGGGCGUAAAGCGCGCGUAGGUGGUUAGUUAAGUUGGAUGUGAAAUCCCCGGGCUCAACCUGGGAACUGCAUUCAAAACUGACUGACUAGAGUAUGGUAGAGGGUGGUGGAAUUUCCUGUGUAGCGGUGAAAUGCGUAGAUAUAGGAAGGAACACCAGUGGCGAAGGCGACCACCUGGACUGAUACUACACUGA